Molecule: long non-coding RNA, 408 nt
Filed under: Homo sapiens (human)
Lineage: Eukaryota; Metazoa; Chordata; Mammalia; Primates; Hominidae
Description: HSALNT0233124
Source: RNAcentral
CACGCCUGUAAUCCCAGCACGUUGGGAGGCCGAGGCGGGUGGAUCACAAGGUCAGGAGAUCGAGACCAUCCUGGCUAACACGGUGAAACCCCGUCUCUACUAAAAAUACAAAAAAAAAAAAAAAAAUUAGCCUGGCAUGGUGGCGGGCGCCUGUAGUCCCACCUGGAGGCCGAGGCAGGAGAAUGGUGUGAACCCAGGAGGCGGAGCUUGCAGUGAGCCGAAAGUGCUCCGACAGAGCGAGACUCCGUCUCAAAAAAAAAAAAAAAAUGCAGACAGAGAGAACGUGAGAGGACCCAAGUCUACUUAGGAAGCUUUCCUGAUGCCAGAUAAACUUUACAGGGAAGUCAGGACCCAGUAAAGUGUAGAAACACUCGUUUUUUGUUUGUUCGUUUGUUUUAAGACAAAGUU